GAUCAUUAUUGAAUAAACCUGAUGGGUUGCUGCUGGCUCUCUCUAGGGGCAUGUGCACGCUUGUCAUCUUUAUAUCUUCUCCUGUGCACCUUUUGUAGACCUGAAUAUCUUUUCUGAAUGUGCAAGCGUUCAGGUUUGAGGAUUUGGCGUUGUCUGCCGUUCCUUGUAUUUUCAGGUCUAUGUUUCUUCAUAUACCCCAAUGUAUGUUAUAGAAUGUAAUAAUAUGGGCCUCUGUGCCUGUAACCUUGUACAACUUUCAGCAACGGAUCUCUUGGCUCUCGCAUCGAUGAAGAACGCAGCGAAAUGCGAUAAGUAAUGUGAAUUGCAGAAUUCAGUGAAUCAUCGAAUCUUUGAACGCACCUUGCGCUCCUUGGUAUUCCGAGGAGCAUGCCUGUUUGAGUGUCAUUAAUAUAUCAACCUCUUCAGCUCUUUGGUUGUUGAGUGUUGGAUCUGGGGGUUCUCUUUUGCUGGUCUCUUCUUGAGAUCGGCUCCCCUAAAAUGCAUUAGCGGAACAAUUUGUUGACUCGUUCAUUGGUGUGAUAAUUAUCUAUGCUAUUGACGUGAAGCAAGGUUCAGCUUCUAAUAGUCCAUUGAGUUGGACAGCUUUUCAUUAAUGUGACCUCAAAUCAGGUAGG
RNAcentral lists this ribosomal RNA (635 nucleotides) under uncultured Dermocybe. RNAcentral's name for it is "eukaryotic LSU rRNA". The stretch from base 252 to 405 matches the Rfam family "5.8S ribosomal RNA". The record is from RNAcentral. Lineage: Eukaryota; Fungi; Basidiomycota; Agaricomycetes; Agaricales; Cortinariaceae.